UUUUCUACGUGUAUAUUACAACGUAAAGUACAUCCUUAGUUUUCUACGAUAGCGUAAAGUAUAUUACGACCUUCUAUUUCUAAAUAUAAAAUAAUAAAUCCAGGGAGAAAUUUUAUAUUAAACUGGGUUGAAUCGAAAGAAUAUUAAACACAAGCGCUAGAUUAAUCAUUCCGUAACAAUUUUUACAUAUUUACAUGUGCGUUAAAAGACGUUAAUCAUCCGAAUACAUAUAUCAUGCAUCUGUGGAAUCCGCCAUAUUGAAUUUCUAAACAAUUUUGAAUACAAGCGCGAAAUUAAUUCAAUGUUCCUUAAAAUAUUUCCGUAUUUACAUAUUAAUAUUAAUGUUUCAUACAUAUGAAACAUAUGAAAUAUACGGAUAUGAGACACCCUGUAUACCUGGUUUAACAUAGAAACGAUUACUGUCAAUUGCUGUCAAUCCCUGUCACGGGUAAUUCCGCCGGCGGAUAGUUUGGCAAUGUUUAGAUUAAAAGGGAAACUUUUAAACUUAUUUUGAUAAUCCUUAAUCGGAAAAUAUUCUCCAUAAACGGAAUAUAAACAUUGUGCCAUGUAAUUUUUUACGUACAUGGCAGUCCAAUUGUCGCGAGUGUUUGCUGCCAGUAUUUGGAUUAUCUUUGCAAUUUACAUUAGUUGCAAAAAACCACGGCGCAAUUGCAAAAUAAAUCCGGAAGAUACAGUCACCGGAAAUCAAUGGUCGCAAUUAGUACUGGAUGGAAUUAGAAGAGAUUCAAGACAUUAACGCAGAGGCAUACAAGUUCUUGUCGAAACAAAUCCGAAGAAAAGAAUUACACGAUUAAAGCAUCGACUACCACUUGGGUCCUUCACCAUGGCCAACAAUGAAGGCUCUACACUUCCGUUUAAGAUACUUUGGAACGUUGGUUGGGUGUUCUUCGCAAGUUAUUACUUUAAUUGGGGCGAAAAUCAAGCAACGGUCGUGCAUCCAGUAGACGGCUCCGGUUGGGUUGCAGAUGGCGCUCUAGGACGUUACGUCGGACACGAAUAAAAGGACCAUACGAAAAUAUUUGUACAACCGCUUAGAGUCCAAUCAAAGCUUUGUCAUUCCAAUACUUCAUUAAGAAACGACCGGCAACAAAUUAUUAAUAUAAAUGUAAUUUAUUCAGAAUGAUAUACGCAAAAGAAUA
This is a long non-coding RNA of Orussus abietinus, 1160 nucleotides long. RefSeq lists it as uncharacterized. Lineage: Eukaryota; Metazoa; Arthropoda; Insecta; Hymenoptera; Orussidae. The record is from RefSeq and is a predicted model, not a curated record. The transcript is spliced from 3 exons.